UACGUAGGGCGCAAGCGUUGUCCGGAUUCACUGGGGGUAAAGGGUGCGUAGGCGGGAGAGUAAGUCCGCGGUGAAAUCUCACAGCUCAACUGUGAAACUGCCGUUGAUACUGCUUUUCUUGAGUUCGGGAGAGGUUGAUGGAAUUCCAGGUGUAGCGGUGAAAUGCGUAGAUAUCUGGAAGAACACCAGUGGCGAAGGCGGUCAACUGGCCCGUAACUGACGCUGAGGCACGAAAGCGUGGGUAGCGAACAGG
Molecule: ribosomal RNA, 253 nt
Filed under: uncultured bacterium
Lineage: Bacteria
Description: partial 16S ribosomal RNA
Rfam family: Bacterial small subunit ribosomal RNA
Source: RNAcentral